GCUUCCUCGAAUCCUUGUAAAGCAAUGUAUAGUUAUAACGCGCGCGUUACGAUACCCGGUGUUCUGAUUUCGCAGCUUUUCAGACACCACUGUACCGCAAUGUACGUUAACGAAGCUGCUGCAGGACGACUGCAAUCUAUUCCGAGGAUAUCAAAAACUAACGGUUCAAUAAUAUUUGGUUUAUUUUAUUACAUCUUAUCCCACUUUAUUAAAUUCUGUUUUAAAACAUUAUUUUAAUUUAUUCCAGCGGGCGAUCGAGUCGUUGAAUUUCGAACAGAGCUUAUUGUACACAGGAAUAUGAAUCUGGUGCGUCGCGACGCUUUAUGUUAUUCAUUAAUAAAAUCUUGCCACCGGUUAAUAUAACG
RNAcentral lists this unclassified non-coding RNA (365 nucleotides) under Athalia rosae (coleseed sawfly). RNAcentral describes it as "misc RNA ENSAEAG00005009400.1". The record is from RNAcentral. Lineage: Eukaryota; Metazoa; Arthropoda; Insecta; Hymenoptera; Athaliidae.